RNAcentral lists this ribosomal RNA (84 nucleotides) under Oceanospirillaceae bacterium. Lineage: Bacteria; Pseudomonadati; Pseudomonadota; Gammaproteobacteria; Oceanospirillales; Oceanospirillaceae. The record is from RNAcentral.
CCCCAUUCCGAACUCAGAAGUGAAACGUUUUAGCGCCGAUGGUAGUGUGGGGUUUCCCCAUGUGAGAGUAGGUCAUCGCCAAGC